Molecule: ribosomal RNA, 496 nt
Filed under: uncultured bacterium
Lineage: Bacteria
Description: partial 16S ribosomal RNA
Rfam family: Bacterial small subunit ribosomal RNA
Source: RNAcentral
AUGCACGCUGGCGGCGUGCCUCAUCCACGCAAGUCGCGCGCACGGACGAGAAGCUUGCUUCUCUGAUGUUAGCGGCGGACGGGUGAGUAACACGUGGAUAACCUACCUAUAAGACUGGGAUAACUUCGGGAAACCGGAGCUAAUACCGGAUAAUAUUUUGAACCGCAUGGUUCAAAAGUGAAAGACGGUCUUGCUGUCACUUAUAGAUGGAUCCGCGCUGCAUUAGCUAGUUGGUAAGGUAACGGCUUACCAAGGCAACGAUGCAUAGCCGACCUGAGAGGGUGAUCGGCCACACUGGAACUGAGACACGGUCCAGACUCCUACGGGAGGCAGCAGUAGGGAAUCUUCCGCAAUGGGCGAAAGCCUGACGGAGCAACGCCGCGUGAGUGAUGAAGGUCUUCGGAUCGUAAAACUCUGUUAUUAGGGAAGAACAUACGUGUAAGUAACUGUGCACAUCUUGACGGUACCUAAUCAGAAAGCCACGGCUAACUACGUG